Schistosoma margrebowiei is the source of this 46-nucleotide non-coding RNA. The record is from Rfam. Lineage: Eukaryota; Metazoa; Platyhelminthes; Trematoda; Strigeidida; Schistosomatidae.
GCACUGCUGAGGAGUCCUGUACUAGGACGAAACGGCCGUCCAGUGC